CAUUACCGAGUUUACAACUCCCAAACCCCUGUGAACAUACCAAUUGUUGCCUCGGCGGAUCAGCCCGCUCCCGGUAAAACGGGACGGCCCGCCAGAGGACCCCUAAACUCUGUUUCUAUAUGUAACUUCUGAGUAAAACCAUAAAUAAAUCAAAACUUUCAACAACGGAUCUCUUGGUUCUGGCAUCGAUGAAGAACGCAGCAAAAUGCGAUAAGUAAUGUGAAUUGCAGAAUUCAGUGAAUCAUCGAAUCUUUGAACGCACAUUGCGCCCGCCAGUAUUCUGGCGGGCAUGCCUGUUCGAGCGUCAUUUCAACCCUCAAGCCCCCGGGUUUGGUGUUGGGGAUCGGCGAGCCCUUGCGGCAAGCCGGCCCCGAAAUCUAGUGGCGGUCUCGCUGCAGCUUCCAUUGCGUAGUAGUAAAACCCUCGCAACUGGUACGCGGCGCGGCCAAGCCGUUAAACCCCCAACUUCUGAAUGUUGACCUCGGAUCAGGUAGGAAUACCCGCUGAACUUAAGCAUAUCAAUAG
This 525-nucleotide ribosomal RNA is filed under the name Fusarium proliferatum. Its description in RNAcentral is "eukaryotic LSU rRNA". The stretch from base 154 to 307 matches the Rfam family "5.8S ribosomal RNA". The record is from RNAcentral. Lineage: Eukaryota; Fungi; Ascomycota; Sordariomycetes; Hypocreales; Nectriaceae.